Molecule: ribosomal RNA, 467 nt
Filed under: uncultured bacterium
Lineage: Bacteria
Description: partial 16S ribosomal RNA
Rfam family: Bacterial small subunit ribosomal RNA
Source: RNAcentral
GAUGAACGCUGGCGGCGCGCCUAACACAUGCAAGUCGAACGAUUAAAGCACCUUCGGGUGUGUAUAAAGUGGCGAACGGCUGAGUAACACGUGGGCAACCUGCCCCUUUCAUUGGGAUAGCCACGGGAAACCGUGGAUAAUACCGAAUACUUCGAGACUUCCGCAUGGAAGACUCGAGAAAGCUCCGGCGGAGAGGGAUGGGCCCGCGGCCUGUUAGCUUGUUGGUGGGGUAACGGCCUACCAAGACAAUGAUGGGUAGCUGGGUUGAGAGACCGACCAGCCAGAUUGGGACUGAGACACGGCCCAGACUCCUACGGGAGGCAGCAGUGGGGAAUCUUGCACAAUGGGCGAAAGCCUGAUGCAGCGACGCCGCGUGCGGGAUGAAGGCCUUCGGGUUGUAAACCGCUUCCAGCAGGGACGAGGCGAAAGUGACGGUACCUGCAGAAGAAGCCCCGGCUAACUACGUG